This 211-nucleotide ribosomal RNA is filed under the name Salmonella enterica subsp. enterica serovar Thompson. RNAcentral describes it as "partial 23S ribosomal RNA". It matches the Rfam family "Bacterial large subunit ribosomal RNA", at positions 231 to 479 of the family's 2925-position model. Lineage: Bacteria; Pseudomonadati; Pseudomonadota; Gammaproteobacteria; Enterobacterales; Enterobacteriaceae. The record is from RNAcentral.
GAGAUUCCCCCAGUAGCGGCGAGCGAACGGGGAGGAGCCCAGAGCCUGAACCAGCAUGUGUGUUAGUGGAAGCGUCUGGAAAGACGCGCGAUACAGGGUGACAGCCCCGUACACAAAAGCGCAUGUGCUGUGAGCUCGAUGAGUAGGGCGGGACACGUGGUAUCCUGUCUGAAUAUGGGGGGACCAUCCUCCAAGGCUAAAUACUCCUGAC